UGCGUAGGCGGAUAGAUAAGUCAGUGGUGAAAACCUGCAGCUUAACUGUAGACUUGCCGUUGAUACUGUCAGUCUUGAGUAUGGUCAAGGUAGGCGGAAUGUGUAAUGUAGCGGUGAAAUGCUUAGAUAUUACACAGAACACCGAUUGCGAAGGCAGCUUACUGGGCCAUUACUGACGCUGAUGCACGAAAGCGUGGGGAUCGAACA
RNAcentral lists this ribosomal RNA (207 nucleotides) under uncultured Bacteroidota bacterium. Its description in RNAcentral is "uncultured Bacteroidetes bacterium partial 16S ribosomal RNA". It matches the Rfam family "Bacterial small subunit ribosomal RNA", at positions 568 to 774 of the family's 1533-position model. Lineage: Bacteria; Pseudomonadati; Bacteroidota. The record is from RNAcentral.